ACGCACGCUGGCGGCGUGCUUCACCCAUGCAAGUCGCACGGAAAGGCCCUGCUUGCAGGGUACUCGAGUGGCGAACGGGUGAGUAACACGUGGGUGAUCUGCCCUGCACUUCGGGAUAAGCUUGGGAAACUGGGUCUAAUACCGGAUAGGAGCCAUCUUUAGUGUGGUGGUUGGAAAGUUUUUUCGGUGUAGGAUGAGCUCGCGGCCUAUCAGCUUGUUGGUGGGGUAAUGGCCUACCAAGGCGGCGACGGGUAGCCGGCCUGAGAGGGUGUACGGCCACAUUGGGACUGAGAUACGGCCCAGACUCCUACGGGAGGCAGCAGUGGGGAAUAUUGCACAAUGGGCGCAAGCCUGAUGCAGCGACGCCGCGUGGGGGAUGAAGGCCUUCGGGUUGUAAACUCCUUUCGCUAGGGACGAAGCUUUUUUGUGACGGUACCUAGAUAAGAAGCACCGGCUAACUACGUG
This 465-nucleotide ribosomal RNA is filed under the name uncultured bacterium. RNAcentral describes it as "partial 16S ribosomal RNA". It matches the Rfam family "Bacterial small subunit ribosomal RNA", at positions 29 to 507 of the family's 1533-position model. The record is from RNAcentral.